This 407-nucleotide ribosomal RNA is filed under the name uncultured bacterium. RNAcentral describes it as "partial 16S ribosomal RNA". It matches the Rfam family "Bacterial small subunit ribosomal RNA", at positions 355 to 774 of the family's 1533-position model. The record is from RNAcentral.
UGGGGAAUAUUGCACAAUGGGCGGAAGCCUGAUGCAGCAACGCCGCGUGCGGGAUGACGGCCUUCGGGUUGUAAACCGCUUUCGCCUGUGACGAAGCGUGAGUGACGGUAAUGGGUAAAGAAGCACCGGCUAACUACGUGCCAGCAGCCGCGGUGAUACGUAGGGUGCGAGCGUUGUCCGGAUUUAUUGGGCGUAAAGGGCUCGUAGGUGGUUGAUCGCGUCGGAAGUGUAAUCUUGGGGCUUAACCCUGAGCGUGCUUUCGAUACGGGUUGACUUGAGGAAGGUAGGGGAGAAUGGAAUUCCUGGCGGAGCGGUGGAAUGCGCAGAUAUCAGGAGGAACACCAGUGGCGAAGGCGGUUCUCUGGGCCUUUCCUGACGCUGAGGAGCGAAAGCGUGGGGAGCGAACA